Long non-coding RNA from Mustela erminea (ermine), 1036 nucleotides. RefSeq lists it as uncharacterized. The record is from RefSeq and is a predicted model, not a curated record. Lineage: Eukaryota; Metazoa; Chordata; Mammalia; Carnivora; Mustelidae. The transcript has 2 exons.
UGCAGAUUAUUUUAAAUAAUUAAAACAUAAUGUUAAAAAUUUUCUGAAGGUAUCCUUUAAGAUAUGGACUCUUGAAAUAAUUCAGGGUUGUAUAGUGCUGAAGGAUUAUUGCGAGCAACUCAGAAUGCUUCUGGGGGCAGUAUUACCAUCUGCCACAUAAUGUGUUUAAGUCUUCCCAGAAAUAUAACCUUGUGUUUUAGGAGGAGGUUCAGGCAAAUGUUAGUCUCCUACAAGGCCUACCUUAUAUAAAGGUAAAGGAGAGAUACUGACAACAUGCUGUGAAGGAUAAGGGGAGGGGCAUCUUCUAGGUACUCAGAGAAGCAGGGAGCUUUGGGAAACUACUCAAAAACUGCUGUGAGCUUUGACUAUCUGUGUGUUUUGACUUUAGGAGAGAUGUUGAAACUUGUAAUUUUGAGAUCUUUAAUACUAGGUUAUUUGCCAUCUCUGUUUCUUCUUCAGGUUAUCGAAUGUAAAAGGAAAAAAAAGCUUCAGUUUGAGGUUUUUUUCCUUUUUGGUGGUUUGGUUUCUUGAUGAAACAAAAUGUGUCCUACAUGCAGAUGAAUGAUACCUGUACCUGUACUGUAUAUACACGUGAAUGAAAAUUACUCAUGUGCUGUACAUACACACAAGAGAUACAUAUACACAUGCUGUACCAAUGUGCAAAAGGCGUAUAUGCAUGUGCCGUGAGUACACAGAAAAGAUACAUCUACAUGUACUGUGUAUAUUUGAAAGAGAACAUAUAUGUGUGCUGUGUAUACAUAUGAAAAGCACAUCUGGAAGGAGACUGAAGUGAAAUGACUUAAAUAGUAUCUGAAUUAUACAAUACAGCAUACAGUUCUAUACCAUUUUUGUUUGUCAUUCCAAGUUGUGUUUAUUGUUUUUAAAAGAGUGGUUUUCACCUUCUGUAUUGCUAUUCAGAAGUUAAAGCUCUGAGGCAGUUUGAAUAGGAUUCAGAUUUAAAGUAGAAUCCUUAUAUUGUUACUCUUACUACUAUUAUUACUAAAAUUAGAUUGCCACUUUAAAUACUCAUAUAGAA